Molecule: ribosomal RNA, 253 nt
Filed under: uncultured bacterium
Lineage: Bacteria
Description: partial 16S ribosomal RNA
Rfam family: Bacterial small subunit ribosomal RNA
Source: RNAcentral
UACGUAGGGGGCAAGCGUUGUCCGGAAUCAUUGGGCGUAAAGAGCGUGUAGGCGGCUCGAUAAGUCUGCUGUGAAAGUCCAGGGCUCAACCCUGGAAGGCCGGUGGAAACUGUCGGGCUAGAGUCCGGAAGAGGCGAGUGGAAUUCCCGGUGUAGCGGUGAAAUGCGCAGAUAUCGGGAGGAACACCAAUGGCGAAGGCAGCUCGCUGGGACGGUACUGACGCUGAGGCGCGAAAGCGUGGGGAGCAAACAGG